Anopheles funestus (African malaria mosquito) is the source of this 3206-nucleotide long non-coding RNA. RefSeq lists it as uncharacterized. The record is from RefSeq and is a predicted model, not a curated record. The transcript has 4 exons. Lineage: Eukaryota; Metazoa; Arthropoda; Insecta; Diptera; Culicidae.
CAACAAAAAAAAAAUUAAAAAAAAAAUUAAAAUUUUUGCUGAAUUGCUCAAAAAUGAGGAAAAUUUUACAUUUUUUCAAACAUGGUAUGGAACUUGGUUCCUCGAAUAACUUCUGGUACAGACAUCUGAGGGCAUGGCCGUCCAAGAAGAAAAUGUAGCCAUUGAUGCCAUCUAUCGACCACAGGUUAAAGAUUGGCGAUCCGUUGGAUACCGUCCGAGUUAUAGGCAAAACUUGGCGCAAAAAUGAGGAAAAUUUUACAUUUUCUCAAACAGGGUAAGGAACUUGGUUCCUCGAAUAACUUCUGGCACAGACAUCUGAGGACAUAGCCGUCCAAGAAGAAAAUGUAGCCAUUAGUGUCAUCUAUCGACCACAGGUUAAAGAUUGGCGAUCCGUUGGAUACCGACCGAGUUAUAGGCAAAACUUGGCGCAAAAAUGAGCAUUAUGAAAUUUUUUAAUUUUAUAUUUUUUAAUAUUUUUUAUAAUUUUUGAUUCUUUUUUAAUUUAAAACAUUAUUUGAGUGAAAAGAAACUUAUUGCAACCAAUUGGCAUUAAAAUAAAUCAAUUUCAUUUUUUUUGCAAAAUUUCUCAAAAAAAUGGCAAGGGGUACCCCUUAUGAAAUUUUCGAGUGGAAAUUUUUUUUUUAAUUUUUUUCUGAUUUUUUAUUCUUUUAUUAAUUUAAAGCAUUAUUUGAGUGAAAAGAAACUUAUUGCAACUAAUUCGCAUUAAAAUAUAUCAAUUUUUUAAAUUUUGCUGAAUUGCUCAAAAAUGAGGAAAAUUUUACAUUUUCUCAAACAGGGUAAGGAACUUGGUUCGUCGAAUAACUUCUGGCACAGACAUCUGAGGGCAUGGCCGUCCAAGAAGAAAAUGUAGCCAUUGGUGUCAUCUAUCGACCACAGGUUAAAGAUUGGCGAUCCGUUGGAUACCGUCCGAGUUAUAGGCAAAACUUGGUGCAAAAAUGAAGAAAAUUUUACAUUUUCUCAAACAGGGUAAGGAACUUGGUUCCUCGAAUAACUUCUGGCACAGACAUCUGAGGGCAUGGCCGUCCAAGAAGAAAAUGUAGCCAUUGAUGCCAUCUAUCGACCACAGGUUAAAGAUUGGCGAUCCGUUGGAUACCGACCGAGUUAUAGCCAAAACUUGGCACAAAAAUGAGGAAAAUUUUACAUUUUCUAAAACAGGGUAAGGAACUUGGUUCCUCGAAUAACUUCUGGCACAGACAUCUGAGGGCAUGGCCGUCCAAGAAGAAAAUGUAGCCAUUGGUGCCAUCUAUCGACCACAGGUUAAAGAUUGGCGAUCCGUUGGAUUCCGACCGAGUUAUAGGCAAAACUUGGCGCAAAAAUGAGCAUUAUGAAAUUUUUUAAUUUUAUAUUUUUUAAUAUUUUUUAAAAUUUUUGAUUCUUUUUUAAUUUAAAACAUUAUUUGAGUGAAAAGAAACUUAUUGCAACCAAUUGGCAUUAAAAUAAAUCAAUUUCAUUUUUUUGCAAAAUUUCUCAAAAAAAUGGCAAGGGGUACCCCUUAUGAAAUUUUCGAGUCGAAAUUUUUUUUUAAUUUUUUUCUGAUUUUUUAUUCUUUUAUUAAUUUAAAGCAUUAUUUGAGUGAAAAGAAACUUAUUGCAACUAAUUCGCAUUAAAAUAUAUCAAUUUUUUAAAUUUUGCUGAAUUGCUCAAAAAUGAGGAAAACUUUACAUUUUCUCAAACAGGGUAAGGAACUUGGUUCCUCGAAUAACUUCUGGCACAGACAUCUGAGGGCAUGGCCGUCCAUGAAGAAAAUGAAGCCAUUGAUGCCAUCUAUCGACCACAGGUUAAAGAUUGGCGAUUCGUUGGAUACCGUCCGAGUUAUAGGCAAAACUUGGUGCAAAAAUGAAGAAAAUUUUACAUUUUCUCAAACAGGGUAAGGAACUUGGUUCCUCGAAUAACUUCUGGCACAGACAUCUGAGGGCAUGGCCGUCCAUGAAGAAAAUGUAGCCAUUGGUGCCAUCUAUCGACCACAGGUUAAAGAUUGGCGAUCCGUUGGAUACCGACCGAGUUAUAGCCAAAACUUGGCGCAAAAAUGAGCAUUAUGAAAUUUUUUAAUUUUAUAUUUUUUAAUAUUUUUUAUAAUUUUUUAUUCUUUUUUAAUUUAAAACAUUAUUUGAGUGAAAAGAAACUUAUUGCAACCAAUUGGCAUUAAAAUAAAUCAAUUUCAUUUUUUUUGCAAAAUUUCUCAAAAAAAUGGCAAGGGGUACCCCUUAUGAAAUUUUCGAGUGGAAAUUUUUUUUUAAAUUUUUUUCUGAUUUUUUAUUCUUUUAUUAAUUUAAAGCAUUAUUUGAGUGAAAAGAAACUUAUUGCAACUAAUUCGCAUUAAAAUAUAUCAAUUUUUUAAAUUUUGCUGAAUUGCUCAAAAAUGAGGAAAAUUUUACAUUUUCUCAAACAGGGUAAGGAACUUGGUUCGUCGAAUAACUUCUGGCACAGACAUCUGAGGGCAUGGCCGUCCAAGAAGAAAAUGUAGCCAUUGGUGUCAUCUAUCGACCACAGGUUAAAGAUUGGCGAUCCGUUGGAUACCGUCCGAGUUAUAGGCAAAACUUGGUGCAAAAAUGAAGAAAAUUUUACAUUUUCUCAAACAGGGUAAGGAACUUGGUUCCUCGAAUAACUUCUGGCACAGACAUCUGAGGGCAUGGCCGUCCAAGAAGAAAAUGUAGCCAUUGAUGCCAUCUAUCGACCACAGGUUAAAGAUUGGCGACCCGCUGGAUACCGUCCGAGUUAUAGCCAAAACUUGGUGCAAAAAUGAAGAAAAUUUUACAUUUUCUCAAACAGGGUAUGGAACAUGGUUCCUCGAAUAACUUCUGACACAGACAUCUGAGGGCAUGGCCGUCCAUGAAGAAAAUGUAGCCAUUGGUGCCAUCUAUCGACCACAGGUUAAAGAUUGGCGAUCCGUUGGAUACCGACCGAGUUAUAGGCAAAACUUGGCGCAAAAAUGAGCAUUAUGAAAUUUUUUAAUUUUAUAUUUUUUAAUAUUUUUUAUAAUUUUUUAUUCUGUUUUAUAUUUAAAGCAUUAUUCGUGUUAAAAGAAACUUAUUGCAACCAAUUGGCAUUAAAAUAAAUCAAUUUCAUUUUUUUUGCAAAAUUUCUCAAAAAAAUGGCAAGGGGUACCCCUUAUGAAAUUUUCGAGUGGAAAUUUUUUUUAAAUUUUUUUCUGAUUUUUAAUUCUUUUAUUAAUUUAAAGCAUUAUU